CCUCGCUUCACUGUCACAUACUCACACGUAUCUAUACAUACAUAUAUAAAUACUUCUUCAUAUGGAUCGGAGGAGGACGGGGAGCCCGGUCUACUCGCGGCAGUGGAGUGGUGGUUCUAGCAGCACGGGAUCGUCCUCGCCAGCGAUGUCUCCGGCUCACCCUAGCUCGCGGCUUGGGACAGGUAUGUCCACCAUCAAGCGCACUCAAAACGUUGCCGCGAAGGCCGCGGCACAGCGGCUUGCUCGAGUCAUGGCGUCGCAGCCCGCCGAUGAUGAUGAGGAUGAUGACGAUCUAGGGUUUCGAUUCAGCGCACCGCCGCCCCCUGCUCCGUCGAGUUUCAGCACCAGUCUUAAUCACAGUGCAAGCAAUAAUGUUUCGCCAGCUAUUUCGGUAGCUAGACCUAAUAGAUCUCCUUCUCCUGCGGUAAUUGAGAGAGCUCAAAGCCUUAUACUCUGUGCAUUUGAAUUGUCAUUAAAGAAGUCGACAUGAGUUUGAUGUUAUGUGAACUUA
RNAcentral lists this unclassified non-coding RNA (511 nucleotides) under Hevea brasiliensis (rubber tree). Lineage: Eukaryota; Viridiplantae; Streptophyta; Magnoliopsida; Malpighiales; Euphorbiaceae. The record is from RNAcentral.